Molecule: ribosomal RNA, 253 nt
Filed under: uncultured bacterium
Lineage: Bacteria
Description: partial 16S ribosomal RNA
Rfam family: Bacterial small subunit ribosomal RNA
Source: RNAcentral
UACGGAGGGUGCAAGCGUUAUCCGGAUUCACUGGGUUUAAAGGGUGCGUAGGUGGGCAGGUAAGUCAGUGGUGAAAUCUCCGGGCUUAACCCGGAAACUGCCAUUGAUACUAUCUGUCUUGAAUACCCUGGAGGUGAGCGGAAUAUGUCAUGUAGCGGUGAAAUGCUUAGAUAUGACAUAGAACACCCAUUGCGAAGGCAGCUCACUACGGGAAUAUUGACACUGAGGCACGAAAGCGUGGGGAGCGAACAGG